RNAcentral lists this ribosomal RNA (774 nucleotides) under fungal endophyte. RNAcentral describes it as "eukaryotic LSU rRNA". The stretch from base 483 to 774 matches the Rfam family "Eukaryotic large subunit ribosomal RNA", at positions 1 to 292 of the family's 3401-position model. The record is from RNAcentral. Lineage: Eukaryota; Fungi.
CAUUACAGAGGUUGCUACAGCUCCCCUGAAAACCAUCGCGAACGCUACCCCAGAAGACAGCCGUUGCCUCGGCGGGCCACCACGCCCGCCGGGGACAGCGGCCCCCACAGGCUCUUUGCAGUUACAGGCCCCUCUGAGUUUGAUUUUACCAAAAUCAGUCAAAACUUUCAACAACGGAUCUCUUGGUUCUGGCAUCGAUGAAGAACGCAGCGAAAUGCGAUAAGUAAUGUGAAUUGCAGAAUUCAGUGAAUCAUCGAAUCUUUGAACGCACAUUGCGCCCGCCAGCACUCUGGCGGGCAUGCCUGUUCGAGCGUCAUUUCAACCAUCAGGCCCCCCCGGGGGCCUGUGCUGGGGCCCUGCGGCUGCCCGCAGGCCCUGAAAACCAGUGGCGGGCUCGCUAGUCACACCGAGCGCAGUAGCACAUCUCGCUCAGGGCGUGCGGCGGGCUCCUGCCGUGAAACCCCCCACUGUAACCCAAAGGUUGACCUCGGAUCAGGUAGGAAUACCCGCUGAACUUAAGCAUAUCAAUAAGCGGAGGAAAAGAAACCAACAGGGAUUGCCCCAGUAACGGCGAGUGAAGCGGCAACAGCUCAAAUUUGAAAUCUGGCCCCCCCCGGGGCCCGAGUUGUAAUUUGUAGAGGAAGCUUUGGGCGCGGCACCCACCGAGUCCCCUGGAACGGGGCGCCAUAGAGGGUGAGAGCCCCGUAGGGUGGGAUGCCCAGCCCCUGUAAAGCUCCUUCGACGAGUCGAGUAGUUUGGGAAUGCUGCUCAAAA